This 648-nucleotide ribosomal RNA is filed under the name Escherichia coli. RNAcentral describes it as "partial 23S ribosomal RNA". It matches the Rfam family "Bacterial large subunit ribosomal RNA", at positions 2259 to 2901 of the family's 2925-position model. Lineage: Bacteria; Pseudomonadati; Pseudomonadota; Gammaproteobacteria; Enterobacterales; Enterobacteriaceae. The record is from RNAcentral.
UGGUGGGUAGUUUGACUGGGGCGGUCUCCUCCUAAAGAGUAACGGAGGAGCACGAAGGUUGGCUAAUCCUGGUCGGACAUCAGGAGGUUAGUGCAAUGGCAUAAGCCAGCUUGACUGCGAGCGUGACGGCGCGAGCAGGUGCGAAAGCAGGUCAUAGUGAUCCGGUGGUUCUGAAUGGAAGGGCCAUCGCUCAACGGAUAAAAGGUACUCCGGGGAUAACAGGCUGAUACCGCCCAAGAGUUCAUAUCGACGGCGGUGUUUGGCACCUCGAUGUCGGCUCAUCACAUCCUGGGGCUGAAGUAGGUCCCAAGGGUAUGGCUGUUCGCCAUUUAAAGUGGUACGCGAGCUGGGUUUAGAACGUCGUGAGACAGUUCGGUCCCUAUCUGCCGUGGGCGCUGGAGAACUGAGGGGGGCUGCUCCUAGUACGAGAGGACCGGAGUGGACGCAUCACUGGUGUUCGGGUUGUCAUGCCAAUGGCACUGCCCGGUAGCUAAAUGCGGAAGAGAUAAGUGCUGAAAGCAUCUAAGCACGAAACUUGCCCCGAGAUGAGUUCUCCCUGACUCCUUGAGAGUCCUGAAGGAACGUUGAAGACGACGACGUUGAUAGGCCGGGUGUGUAAGCGCAGCGAUGCGUUGAGCUAACCGGUAC